RNAcentral lists this long non-coding RNA (1021 nucleotides) under Homo sapiens (human). The record is from RNAcentral. Lineage: Eukaryota; Metazoa; Chordata; Mammalia; Primates; Hominidae.
AGGGCCUCACUCUGUCACUCAGGCUGGAGUGAAGUGGUGCAAUCACAGUUCACUGAAACCUUGAACUCCUGGGUACAAGGAAUCCUCCUGUCUGGAACUACAGGCUCUCUCUUUGCCUGCUGCCAUCCACGUAAAACAUGACUUGCUCCUCCUUGCCUUCUGCCAUGACUGUGAGGCCUCCCCAGCCACAUGGAACUGUAAGUCCAUUAAAUCUCUCUUUCUUUUGUAAAUUGCCCAGUCUCAGGUAUGUCUUUAUCAGCGGCAUGAAAACAGAGUAAUACAGAAACUUGGUACCAGUAGAGUGGGGGGGGGGGGUGUUGUUGAAAAGAUACCCCAAAAUAAGGAAGUGACUUUGGAACUGGGUAACAGUUCCAAAGAGUUGGAACAGUUUGGAGGGCUCAGAAGAAGACAAGGAAAUGUGGGAAAGUCUGGAACUCUCUAGAGACUUGUUGAAUAGCUUUGACCAAAAUGCUGAUAAUGAUAUGGACAAUAAAAUCCAGGCUGAGGUGGUCUCAGAUGGAUAUGAGGAACUUGUUGGGAACUAAAGCAAAGGUGACUCUUGUUAUGUUUUAGCAAAGGGACUGGUGGCAUUUUACCCCUUCCCUAGAGAUUUGUGGAAAACUUUGAACUUGAGAAAGAUGAUGUAGGGUAUUUGAUGGAAAAAAUUUCUAAGCAGCAAAACAUUCACUUCAAAAAAUUUGAAGUGACUUGGGUGCUGUUAAAGGCAUUCAGUUUCAAAACAAAACUAGUGCAUAAAAGUUUGGAAAAUUUGCAGCCUAACAAUGCAAUAGAAAAGAAAAUCCCAUUUUCUGAGGAGAAAUUCAAGCCAGCUGCAGACAUUUGCGUAAGUAACAAGGAGCUGAAUGUUAAUCACCGAAGACAAUGGGGAAAAUGUCUCCAGGGCAUGUCAGAGACCUUUGUGGCAGUCCCUCCCAUCAUAGGCCUGGAGGCCUAGGAGGAAAACGUGAUUUUGCGGGCCUGGCCUAAGGUCCUCGUGCUGUGUGCAGCCUAGAGACUUGGU